GCGCCGAAGAUGAUCGGGACUGAAGUCCAGAACCGAAGCCGCGGAUCGUGAAUUUAUUCACGGUGGUAGAAGAGCGUUGUAUGCGGGUCGAAGCCGAAGAGGGAUCUGAGGUGGACUGCAUACAAGUGACCAUGCAGGCAUGAGUAGCGAAAAACCGGAUGAGAAUUCCGGUCACCGAAAACCUAAGGUUUCCCGGGGAAGGUUCGUCCGCCCGGGGUUAGUCGGAACCUAAGGCGAGGCCGAAAGGCGUAGUCGAUGGAGGACAGGUUAAUAUUCCUGUACCACCUUGUUGGAGUGAUGGAGGGACGCAGUAAGUCAGGUGAGCCAACUGCUGAAUAUGUUGGUCGAAGGCCGUAGGGCGCACGAUAGGCAAAUCCGUCGUGCUUUCAACCCGAGAGUCGUAAGGUAGCCGAACGCAAGUUUGGCGAAUUCACUGUGACGACGCUGACGAGAAAAGCUUCUAAACGUUGAAAACAGGGUGUCCGUACCGAAACCGACACAGGUAGGUGAGGCGAGUAGCCUAAGGUGCGCGAGAGAAACCAACGUUAAGGAACUCGGCAAAUUGACCCCGUAACUUAGGGAUAAGGGGUGCCGCUUCAGGUGAAGGGACUUGCUCCCGGAGCCCGGAGCGGUUGCAACAAAGAGGCUGGUGCGACUGUUUAACAAAAACACAGCUCUAUGCUAACUCGCAAGAGGAUGUAUAUGGAGUGACACGUGACCAAUGCCAAAAGGUCAAUGGGAGAGGUUAGCGCAAGCGAAGCUUCGAUCUGAAGCCCUGGUGAAUGUCGGCCGUAACUAUAACGGUCCUAAGGUAGCGAAAUUCCUUGUCGGGUAAGUUCCGACCUGCACGAAUCGUGUAACGAUGCCAGCACUGUCUCAACGUGGAUCUCGGCGAAGUUGUAAUUCCGGUGAAAAUGCCGGAUACCUGCGGAAGGACGGAAAGACCCCAUGAACCUUUACUGUAAUCUGAUAUUGGUAUUUGAUUGCUCUUGUGUAGCAUAGGUGGGAGGCAGUGAAACCGCUACGCCAGUACCGGUGGAGCCACAGGUGAAAUACCACCCUGGUGUAAUUAGAUAUCUAACGGUGUCCCGUGAAUCCGGGCCCCGGACCGUGUCAGAGGGUCAGUUUGACUGGGGCGGUUUCCUCCUAAAUUGUAACGGAGGAGCCCGAAGGUACACUCAGCACGGUUGGCAAUCGUGUGCAGAGCGUAAGGGUAGAAGUGUGCUUUACUGUAAGACCGACAGGUCGAGCAGUUGCGAAAGCAGGGCCUAGUGAUCCAGCGAUGGAAUGUGGAAUCGUCGUUGCUCAACGGAUAAAAGGUACUCUGGGGAUAACAGGCUGAUAGCGCCCAAGCGUCCAUAGCGACGGCGCUGUUUGGCACCUCGAUGUCGACUCAUCACAUCCUGGGGCUGUAGAAGGUCCCAAGGGUUCGGCUGUUCGCCGAUUAAAGUGGUACGCGAGUUGGGUUCAGAACGUCGUGAGACAGUUCGGUCCUUAUCCUCCGCAGGCGCAGGAUAUUUGAUGGGAUCAUUCCUUAGUACGAGAGGACCGGGAAUGACUGACCUCUGGUGUUCCGGUUGUGGCGUCAGCUGCAUUGCCGGGUAGCUAUGUCGGGAACGGAUAAGCGCUGAAAGCAUCUAAGCGCCAAGCCCACCCAAAGACGAGAUAUCCCUUCCCGCAAGGGACUGAAGGCCGGUCGAAGACUACGACCUUGAUAGGACGGAGAUGUAAGCGCAGUAAUGCGUUCAGUUUACCGUUACUAAUCGGCCGUGAGGCUUAACCAC
RNAcentral lists this ribosomal RNA (1784 nucleotides) under human gut metagenome. RNAcentral describes it as "bacterial LSU rRNA". It matches the Rfam family "Bacterial large subunit ribosomal RNA", at positions 1161 to 2925 of the family's 2925-position model. The record is from RNAcentral.